GACGUAGGGCGCGAGCGUUGUCCGGAUUUAUUGGGCGUAAAGAGCUCGUAGGCGGCUUGUCGCGUCGUCCGUGAAAACUUGGGGCUCAACCCCAAGCUUGCGGUCGAUACGGGCAUGACUGGAGUUCGGCAGGGGAGACUGGAAUUCCUGGUGUAGCGGUGAAAUGCGCAGAUAUCAGGAGGAACACCGGUGGCGAAGGCGGGUCUCUGGGCCGAUACUGACGCUGAGGAGCGAAAGCGUGGGGAGCGAACAGG
RNAcentral lists this ribosomal RNA (254 nucleotides) under uncultured bacterium. Its description in RNAcentral is "partial 16S ribosomal RNA". It matches the Rfam family "Bacterial small subunit ribosomal RNA", at positions 524 to 776 of the family's 1533-position model. The record is from RNAcentral.